This 3197-nucleotide long non-coding RNA is filed under the name Populus tremula. Its description in RNAcentral is "long non-coding RNA (PTRE_LNC002206)". The record is from RNAcentral. Lineage: Eukaryota; Viridiplantae; Streptophyta; Magnoliopsida; Malpighiales; Salicaceae.
CCCUUUUAAACUUUAAUACACAUAUUAAAUAUCACUAACGUCGUCAUCAGUUAUGCACAUUUCCAAAAUAAUAAUUGUCGUACAAGUAUUACAAUCCAAAAGAAUUUACAAUAUUUUAAAUACAAGUACAACCUAUUAAAGUAAUCACAAAAGAUUGCAUUACCUAACAAAUGUACAAAAUAACUAAAAACAAUGUAAUGUCUAAAGAGAUUUGGACCCGUUUGUUGGCUGGAAAAUAAUUUAAAAAAAAAAAAUGAAUUCAGGGGAAAGUGAAUUUUGGGGAAAAUAAAUUUCGAGAAAAUAUUUUUUGAUGUUUGGUAGUGUAAUGGAAAAUAAGUUGGAAAACACUUUCCAGUGUUUGGUUAUGUCAUGAAAAAUGAGCUGGAAAAUAACUUAUUAAUAUAUUAAAAUAAUGAGAAACAAAUCUUACAAAUUAAAAGUUUAAUGAGAAUGAAAUUGAAAAAAAUUAUAUAAUUUCAUAAAUUAUCUCAAAUAAAAUAAAUAAUAAUCAAAAUAAUAGAGAUCAAAUCUAAAAAAUUAAAAAAUAUAUAUAUGAAGAAAUUAAAAUAAUAAUAAUCAACAUUUCAUAAAUUAUUUCAAAUAAAAUAAGUAAUAAUCAAAAGAAUAAGGACCAAAUUUGAUAGAUAAAAAAUUUCAAUAAAAAAAUAAUAAGGAAAAAGCAAAUAACAAUUAUAAAAAUAAGGACCAAAGUUAAUAUAAAAAUAAAAUUUUAAAAGAUGAAAUUGAAAAAUAAAUAUUCAAAACAAAAUAUAUAUAUAACAAUCAAAAGUUUGAGGAUCAAAUUUGAUAUAAUCAGCAAAUAAUGACAUUUCUAAAUUUUUCACAACUUCCGGAAAGUGUUUUCCCCCCAAAUUUUUUAGGAAAACACUUUCCUGAAAACCAAGCUAAAUUUUCCUUUUACUGAAAAGUAUUUUUCAUUUAUCAACUUUCCUAAUGGCAAACAAACACAAGAAAGUUUAGAAAGUGAUUUCCCGAAAAUCACUUUCUGAAAAACAAACACGGCUAAAGGGAAAACACUUUCCUAAAAACCAAGCCAAAUUUUUCUUUAACUGGAAAGUGUUUUUCGUUGACCGGAAAGUGUUUUCCGUUGAGUAGAAAAUGUUUUCCGUUGAUCAACUUUUCUAAUGACAAACAAACAUAGAAAAGUUUGUAAAAUGGUUUCCCAUAAACUACUUUUCAAGAAACAAACAUGGCCCUAGUAGUAUGAGAGAUUCCUGCAUAAACAAAACAUAAAGAAUACCCACAAUAUUAGAAUGAUUUUAAAGAAACCUAAUAUUUACAUGUAAAAUGUCAUAUACCACAUUUCACUUUAUACUUAGGUUUAAUUUCCCACUAAAUAUUUAUUUCAUAAUAAUUACCCAUAUUCUCUCAAAAUAUCUAAUUCCUCCAAACUCCUCUAUUUGAAACUCAAAUUUUCAUCCAAAAUUAAUGCCCUCAAAUAAAACAAACACUUUAACUUGAGAGUUCUUUCUUCAUAACCCCUUUACUUUAACUCAUUCAAUUCUAACAUAACUAAACUGGUCUUCUCAGCCCCAACUUGUCAAUUUCUCCAUUACACCACGCUAAUUUAAUUCAUGCCUUAGUUUUUUAAAAAACUAAAUCACAGCUUCAUCUUCUUAUUCUCCAAUUUAUUGGGUGGUUACGGUUAAACCACUAACCCUUAGUUUUCCAUAACUACAUACUACUAAGUUAAAAUUUCCUUUCUCUUGAUCUUCCACUUGGUGGACGAAUAAGUUACUUCACUAUCCCUUAGCUUCCGUUUCUACGGACGACAAAGUUUUAUAUUUUCCAUUCCCUUAAUCUUCCACUUCGUAAACAAUUAAGUUUUAAAUUUUUCGUUCCCUUAAUCUUCCACUUCAUGGACGACUAAGUUGCUUCACUAGCCCUUAGCUUCUGUUUAUACGAACGUCUAAGUUUUCUAUUUUCCAUUCCCUUAAUCUUUCACUUCGUGGACAAUUAAGUCGCUUCACUAGCCUUAGCUUCCGUUUUUACGGACUACUAAGUCUUACAUUUUUCAUAAUACCUUUAUCCAUCAUUACCCAUCACAACUCCAUUUCAUUCAUAUUCUCCCAAGAAUCAUUUUUGUCAAAAUCAUAGUCUUAGUUCCAACCUUUCAUUUCCAUAUAAUUCACAACAUCAAAUUUAACAAGAAAAUUAAACAACUAAGGUAAGCAAGUUUAAGGUAGCAACACCUACCUGCAGCUCCUGAUGCUCGAGCUUCUUCUGUCGAUGUCCCGACUCUGAAUGGUACUCCUAAAAUUUAUCAGAAGUCAUUCGUAUUAGUACCAACCUAAAAGUCAGCAAUAUCCUAAGCCCAUUCACCUUUUUAUAUUUUCACCAUGUAUAACAUUAUUAACUUUUAUGCUAAACAAAAUAUUUCUUUAGUAUACUUUCCUAUUAAUAAUCUUAACCUUAACAUACAUUACUCAUGACAUACAUUUCUAAACAAAACCACAUAACCUCAUUUCCUUUAUCAUCUAUGCCAUGUUAACCUUCCCCUUUCUUUCCCUUGUUAUAUUAUUUUUUUAAUUCUACGAAAUAAUCACACCCCACAUUCAUUUAAUUUUCCUUCUCCCAUGGCCGGCCAUCUAGCUUAAUUUUUCUCCUCCAUCAUUUCUUUUUUUACUAUCAUCUAAUUUCACAAUAUCAACAUAAACCACAAAAAAACCAAUUUCAAAUAAUAUUCUACCCACAUUAACACAAACCCUAACUUUUCCAAAAUUUAGGAAUUUCAAAUAAUCAUGUGUAAAACAUAACAAAUCAAGCAAUUAUCACUUUAAAACAACUUACCCAAGUGUAUUUAGCAAGAAUCAUAGCUCACUGCAUUACCCUGGUUUCCUAUUCAUAAUCUUCCUCAUUCAAAGUUUACUUUCUCCCUCUAGAACUUCUCUUUGUCUCCUAAGUUUCCUUGUUUCUUCUUUUCUCUCUUGUUUCUUGUUGAUUUCUAGCUAAAAACACUUUUCCUAACACAAUUUUUGGGUUCCUCCUUACCUUUUUCUCUCUUCCUCUCUCAAGCUCUCUUUUCUCUUCUUUUCCCUUCCUAUAUUUUUGUCCAGCCGUGGUUUAAUGAAGAAGAUAGCUGCUGGAAAUUUUCCAGCUCAUCAAGUAUAUUUACAAAACUUCCAUUAAUGAUUUUCAUGCUAUUUUUCAGUCUAAUUGUCGAUAUUAUUUGCCAG